CCAACAAUUCAAGAGAUGGAGUUCUAUGAAUCGAUUGAAUUAGGUAUGUCUUUGUAAUUUUAUAUGUGCUUUAUUAAUGUAUUAUAUAAUAUGUAUGUUGGACUAAUGUUUUAAUGUGUUUAUAUUUUUUUAUGUAGAUAUUAUGAGUUCAUCCACACCUAGCACCAUAGCUCCAACUACUUUUCAAUGUUAGGAGGAAUUUAAUUUGGGUUGUAAUGUAUAUUUGGUUGAAUUUGGGUUGUAUUUGGCUAGUAAUUUAUUUUGGAACUUAUUUUGUUGAAGUUUGAUUUAAUUUGGGUUGUAAUUUAUAUGUUGAAGUUGGAU
Molecule: long non-coding RNA, 324 nt
Filed under: Prunus persica (peach)
Lineage: Eukaryota; Viridiplantae; Streptophyta; Magnoliopsida; Rosales; Rosaceae
Description: long non-coding RNA (PPER_LNC000160)
Source: RNAcentral